CCCAGACCCACAAGCGUGACCCCAGCCGGCUCAUCACCCAGAUCCUUGGAGCAGAUCGCUCUGGACUCAUUGCGACCAGCUGGGAGAAAUGGAAUGCCCCAACCAGAUCCUCCAGAUCUUCAAGAUAGUCAUCCCAUUUUACAGCCAUGUAGCCUUCCCUUUGCCUUUUGGAAGAAGAAUUUUGCUAAGAUGGCACCAGAUCAGUCCUGAUGUUGAUGACUGCUUUCCCAGUGGAAAAUACCUGGCUGUCUUGUCUGCAGGGAGGAACCGAGGGCUGGGAACAAAGAAAACACUGUGGACUUUUGAAGCCAUUAAGAGUUGCUCCAGGGGGGCAGAGUCAAGAUGGCGGCUUAGAAGGAGCAGAAGUUCAGACCUCUGAAAACCCUUCCUUACCGAUCACAAACUGAUUGCUCCUAGGAGACUGAAAAACAAACUUAAUAACAAGACAGAGCCAAAGUACCCUCCUGCUGGACUUAAUUCAAAAGGUAUGCCCCCCUCCCCCCGAAAAGUUGGAAUCCAAGAACACUCGGGUUUAAGGGGAAGACAGAAGGAAGGUCCCAGGACCCAUCCCCCCUCCCACCCAGAGUGCUGAGAUUCCAGCUGCAGUGGGAACUUCUGGGCGGGCAAAGGUGCUGGUCUCAAGGGCAAAGCUUGAGAGCAGGACUGUGCCAAGUUCAGAGCGUCCAACACAGAAGCCGGAGAAGGAGCUAGAGAGGGAACAUAGAUCUGGCAGCCUGGCCAGAGCUUUGGAGAUCCUCCAUAUUUGCUCCAGCCUUCCAGGAAGUUUAGGACUGAGAGCACACUCAGCCCAACUAAGUUGAACUUAAUCCCAUCAAAAGUCUUCAGCACUCAGGGAAGCCCAGGCUCCACAUCUAUCCUCAUUGACUGCUGGACUUUUUAAUCCAAUCAAAAGCCUCCAGAGGACAGGGAAGCUCAAACCUCAACAACCUUCCCACAGAGACUACACCAAGAGAUCUUCUGUUAAAGCUCCAAGAGGGGAGACUGAUAGAAGCCCACCAAAAAUAAAAAAAAAAUGAGAGGAGAAAGAGCACAGGCAAAUACGGGAAGUAAAGAAGGGGUGAAUUUGAGCAAACAACAGAAAAAAGAAGAAGAAAACUACAAUAGAUAGCUUCUACUCAGCAAAUGGAACAGAGGGGGAGAGAUCAGCAAAUGAUAAAUCAGAAAUCCCAGCAAAUUGGAUACAGGCUGUGGAAGAACUCAAAAAUUAAGAUAAGUCAUCUGGAAACAGAGGCACUUGAACUAAAAUGAGAAAAUAGUGUCUUGAAAGCCAAAAUCAACCAGCUGGAAAAGGAGAUGAAAGAUGAUGUAGAGGAUGAAAGACGAUAUUCAAAGAAAAUCAGACCAGAAGGAAAAGGAUAACCAAAAAGCCAGAGAUGAAAUCCAAUCGUUAAGAACCAGAAUACAACAACUGGAUUUAAGUGACCUCACAAGGUAGCAGGACACUAUAAAACAAAACAAAAAGAAUGAAAGAAUUGAGGAAAAUGUGAAGCAUCUCAUUCACAAAACAGACGAUUUAGAAAAUCUUUCGAGAAGAGACAAUUUAAGAAUCAUUGGACUACCAGAAGACCAUGACAAAAGAAAAAAGCUGGACAUAAUACUACAGGAUAUUAUUCAGGAAAACUGUCCUGAUAUCCUAGAAGAGGGGAAAGUGGAGAUUGAAAGAAUCCACAGAUCACCUCCUGUAUUUAAUCCCCAACUGACAACAACCAGAAAUGUUAUAGCCAAAUUAAAAAAAAAAACUAUCAGACCAAAGAAAAGAUAUUACAAGCUGCCAAGAAAAAGCCAUUCAGAUACCAUAGAAACAUGGUGAGGAUAACAUAAUAUCUGGCUGCAUCCACACUGAAGCACAAAAGGCAUGGAAUGAUAUUCUGGAAAGCAAGGGAACUAGGUCUACAACCAAGAAUCAAAUACCCAUCAAAACUGACUAUAUUCUUAUAGGGGAAAGUAUGGUCAUUCAACACAACAGAAGAAUUCCAAGCAUUCGUAAAGAAAAGACCAGACCUGAACAGAAAAUUUGAUGCCCAAGCACAGAACUCAAGAGAAUCAUCAAAAGGUAAUUAAAAAAGAGGGGAAAAAGAAAAACAAAACAACAACAAAUUUUUUUAAGAGACUCAAAUUAAAAUGAUAUGUAUCCCUAUAAGAAAAGAGGUCAUUGGUAACUCUUAAACUGUUGCUAUCACCUGGGCAGCUAGAAGAAUUAUACUUAGAGGGAAUAAACUGUAUAGGAUAAAAGAACAAGACAUAAAUAGGUAUAUAGAUAUAUGCAUGCAUAAAUACAUAUACAUGUGUGUAUAUAUAUAUACACAUAUAUAUUAUAUAUAUUAUAUAUAUACAUAUUUUAGCUCUGGUUGUAUAUAUAUAUAUAUAACAUAUAUAUACAUAUACACAUAUACACUAUAUACAUAUAUACACAUUAUAUACAUAUAUAUACAUACAUAUAUAUACACACACAACCAAAGCAAAAAAAAAAAAGGUUAAUACUAAAAGAAAUGGGAAAAGAAACAAAUGGGGGUAAAUGUCACAAAGAAGCUAAUGGCAGGAGGGGGGAGAACAGCGAUACACUGGAAGGGUAAAGAGGUUGGAGAUAGGAAAUAUUCAACUCUUACGUACUUUGAAACUGACCCAAAGAGGGAAGAACAAUCCAAUCCAUUGGGAUAGAGAAUAGAUUUGCGCCCCAUAGGGGAGUAAAAGGGUAAAAAACGGACUGGUGGGGAGGGAAGCAGUACAAAGGAGGGAGAGGGUGGGGGGAAAGUUUAAAAGGACUACAGGGGAAAAUAAGGGAGGGAAUAAGAAGGGAAGGGGGUAGAAAGGGAAGUAAAAUAAGGGUGGGAACUAGUGGGACUGACUAUAAACAAACAUUGGUGUAGAAGGAAAUAGUGAAAGAAGAAAAGGCAAGACCAGGAGUAGAAAUCAAAAUGCUGGGAAAUAAACAGCUAUUAAUCAUAACUCUGAAUGUAAAUGGAAUGAACUCACCCAUAAAACGCAAGCAAAUAGCAGAGUGCAUUAGAAUCCAAAACCCUACCAUAUGCUGUCUGCAAGAAACACACAUGAGGAAGGUAUAUACGCAUAGGGUGAAAAGUAAGAGGAUGGAACCAAAUCUAUUGGGCAUCAACUGAUAAAAAGAAGGCAGGAGUAGCAAUCAUGAUAUCUGACAAAGCCAAAGUAAAAAUAAAUCUAGUUAAAAGAGAUAGGGAAAGUAAUUACAUCCUGAUAAAAGGCAGUAUAGACAAUGAGGAUAUAUCUGUACUCAAUAUGUAUGCACCAAAUGGCAUAGCAUCCAAAUUUCUAAAGGAGAAACUAGAGGAGCUCAACAAUGAAAUAGAUAGAAAAACUAUACUAGUGGGAGAUCUGAACCUUCCUCUAUCCGAACUAGAUAAAUCAAAAAAUAAGAAAGAGGUGAGAGAAGCGAAUGAAAUCUUAGAAAAAUUAGAGUUAGUAGACUUAUGGAGAAAAAUAAAUAGGGUCAAAAAGGAAUACACCUUUUCAGCAGCACAUGGCACAUUCACAAAAAUUGACCAUGUAUUAGGGCAUAAAAUCAUUGAAAACAAGUGCAAAAGAAUAGAAGUAAUAAAUGCAACCUUCUCAGACCAUAAUGCAAUAAAAAUAAUAAUUAGUAAAGGUACAUGGAGAGAUAAAUCAAAAAUUCAUUGGAAGUUAAACAAUAUGAUUCUCCAAAACCAGCUAGUUAAAGAACAAAUUGUAGAAACAAUAACUUCAUUGAAGAAAAUUAAAAUGGUGAGACAUCCUUUCAAAACCAAUGGGAUGCAGCCAAAGUAGUACUCAGGGGAAAAUUUAUAUCCUUGAGUUCAUAUAUAAACAAAUUAAGAAGGGCAGAGGUCAAUGAAUUCGACAUGCAAAUUAAAAAAACUAGAAAUUGAACAAAUUAAAAAUCCUCAGAUGAAGACUAAAUUAGAGAUCCUAAAAAUCAAAGGAUAAAUUAAUAAAAUUGAAAGUCAAAGAACUAUUGAUUUAAUAAAUAAGACUAGAAGCUGGUACUUUGAAAAAACAAAUAAAAUAGACAAUACUAAUCAGUCUAAUUAAGAAAAGGAAAGAAAUAAACCAAAUUGACAGUAUCCAAGAUGAAAAGGGAGACCUCACCUCUAAUGAAGAGGAAAUCAAGACAAUCAUUAAAAACUACUAUGCCCAAUUAUAUGGAAAUCUAAGUGAUAUGGAUGAAUACUUACAAAAAUAUAAAUUGCCUAGACUAAAAGAAGAAGAAAUAAAUUACCCAAACAACCCUCUAUCAGAAAAAGAAAUUGAACAAGACAUCAAAGAACUCCCUAAGAAAAAAAUCCCCAGUUCCAGAUGGAUUCACAAAUGAAUUCUAUCAAACAUUCAAAGAACAACUAGGGGUUCUACCAAAUUCUUUUUACGACACAAACAUGGUACUGAUCCCAAAGCCAGGCAGGUUAAAAACAGAGAAAGAAAAUUAUAGAUCAAUCUCACUAAUGAAUAGAGAUGCAAAAAUCUUAAAUAGGAUACUAGCAAAAAGACUCCAGCAAGUCAUCACAAGGGUUAUCCACUAUGAUCAGGUAGGAUUCAUACCAGGAAUGCAAGGAUGGUUCAAUAUUAGGAAAACCGUCCACAUAGUUGACCAUACUAAUAAGCAAACUGACAAAAAUCACAUGGUUAUCUUAAUAGAUGCAGAAAAAGCAUUUGAUAAAAUAUAACAACUAUUCCUAUUGAAAACACUAGAAAGUAUAGGAAUAGAAGGGCAUUUCCUAAGAAUAAUAAACAGUAUAUAUCUAAAACCAUCAGCAAACAUAAUCUGCAAUGGGGAUAAACUCAAAGCCUUCCCAAAUAAGAUCAGGAGUCAAACAAGAAUGCCCAUCAUCACCUUUAUUAUUUAAUAUUGUACUAGAAACACUAGCAGUAGCAAUUAGAGAAGAAAAAGAAAUUGAAGGUAUUAAAAUUGGCAAUGAGGAGACCAAGCUGUCACUCUUUGAGGAUGAUAUUAUGAUUUACUUAAAGAAUCCUAGAGAAUCAACCAAAAAGCUAGUUGAAAUAAUCAACAACUUUAGCAAAAUUGCAGGAUACAAAAUAAACCCAUAUAAGUCAUCAGCUUUUCUAUAUAUCUCCAACCCAGUUAAGCAGCAAGAAUUAGAAAGAGAAAUUCCAUUUAAAGUCACCCGAGACAAUAUAAAAUACUUAGGAAUCUAUUUGCUGAGACAAACACAGGAACUAUACGAACACAACUACAAAACACUCUCCACACAAUUAAAACUAGAUCUAAACAAUUGGAAAAACAUUGAUUGUUCAUGGGUGGGACGAGCUAACAUAAUAAAAAUGACCAUCCUACCCAAACUUAUCUAUUUAGUGCCAUACCCAUUGAACUUCCAAAAAACUUUUUUUACUGAAUUAGAGAAAACCACAACAAAGUUCAUUUGGAAGAACAAAGGAUCAAGGAUAUCCAGGGAAAUAAUGAAAAAAAAAUACAAAGGAAGGUGGCCUUGCAGUCCUAGAUCUCAAACUAUAUUACAAAGCAGUGGUCAUCAAAACAAUUUGGUUCUGGCUAAGAGACAGAAAGGAGGAUCAGUGGAAUAGACUUGGAGUAAAUGACCUCAGCAAGAUAGUCUAUGACAAACCCAAAGACCCCAGCUUUUGGGACAAAAAUCCAUUAUUUGAUAAAAAUUGCUGGGAAAAUUGGAAGACAGUGUGGGAGAGAUUAGAUUUGGAUCAAAACACUUCACACCCUACACCAAGAUAAACUCAGAAUGGGUGAAUGACUUGAAUAUAAAGAAGGAAACUAUAAGUAAAUUAUGUGAACACAGAAUAGUAUACAUGUCAGACCAUUGGGAAGGGAAAGAUUUUAAAACCAAGCAAGACUUAGAGUCACAAAAUGCAAAAUAAAUAAUUUGGAAUACAUCAAAUUAAAAAGUUUUUGUACAAACAAAACCAAUGUAACUAAAAUUAGAAGGGAAGCAACAAAUUGGGAAACAAUCUUCAUAACAAAAAACUCUGACAGAGGCCUAAUUUCUCAAAUUUAUAAAGAGCUAAACCAGUUGUACAAAAAAUCAAGCCAUUCUUCAAUUGAAAAAUGGGUAAGGGACAUGAAUGGGCAAUUUUCAGUUAAAGAAAUAAAAACUAUUAAUAAGCACAUGAAAAAAGUGUUUUAAAUCUCUUCUAAUCAGAGAUAUGCAAAUCAAAACAACUCUGAGGUAUCACCUCACACCUAGCAGAUUGGCCAACAUGACAGCAAAGGAAAAUAAUGAAUGCUGGACGGGAUGUGGCAAAGUUGGGACAUUAAUUCAUUGCUGGUGGAGUUGUGAAUUGAUCCAACCAUUCUGGAAGGCAAUUUGGAACUAUGCACAAAGGACAAUAAAAGAAUGUCUACCCUUUGGUCCAGCCAUAGCACUGCUGGGUUUGUACCCCAAAGAGAUAAUAAGGAAAAAGACUUGUACAAGAAUAUUCAUAGCUGCACUCUUUGUGGUGGCCAAAAAUGGGAAAAUGAGGGGAUGCCCUUCAAUUGGGGAAUGACUGAACAAAUUGUGGUAUAUGUUGGCCAUGGAAUACUAUAAAAGGAAUAAUAAAGUGGAGGAAUUCCAUGGAGACUGGAACAACCUCCAGGAAGUGAUGCAGAGCGAAAGGAGCAGAACCAGGAGAACAUUGUACACAGAGACUGAUACACUGUGGUACAAUAGAAAGUAAUGGACUUCUCCAUCAAAGGCAAUGCAAUGUCCCUGAACAAUCUGCAGGGAUCUAUGAGAAAAAACACUAUCCUCAAGCAGAGGACAAACUGUGAGAGUAAAAACACCGAGGAAGGGCAACUGCUUGACUACAGAGGUUGAGGGGACAUGAUCAAGGAGAGAUGCUAAAUGAGCGCCCUAAUGCAAAUACCAACAACAAGGAAAUGGGUUCAGAGCAAAGACACAGGUGAUACCCAGUGGAAUCGCGCAUCAGCUAG
This is a long non-coding RNA of Monodelphis domestica (gray short-tailed opossum), 6925 nucleotides long. RefSeq lists it as uncharacterized. Lineage: Eukaryota; Metazoa; Chordata; Mammalia; Didelphimorphia; Didelphidae. The record is from RefSeq and is a predicted model, not a curated record.